RNAcentral lists this long non-coding RNA (907 nucleotides) under Marmota monax (woodchuck). Lineage: Eukaryota; Metazoa; Chordata; Mammalia; Rodentia; Sciuridae. The record is from RNAcentral.
GUGUUUCCGUGGUUAAUUGCCUCUUAGUUUAAUCUCUGGUACCAAUAAAAACAAAACAAAAAAAAAGGCUGAGGAUAUAGCUCAUCUGUAAAGCAUCCCUGGGUUCAACCUCCAGUACCCCAAAAACAAAAACAUGCAAUUUCAAGUGCUUUCUGGAAAUUAGAGGGCUCCAGAUGCAGUUCUAGAGCCUAACAUUAAGGGGCAGCAUGUACCAAAGGUAACAUUCAGCUCUGCCACAACCAGGCAGAAACGAAACCACCUUGUUUUUAAACUCCAGGAGCACCUGGGGUGUAGAAGCCAAAUUUCCAUCUCUUCAAUAAAAUUAGAGCAUCACAAUCUUCAGUAUAUUUUCUAUUAAGAGUUUUACCUGCCAAUUGAAUUCUCCAAGUGAAUUAUUCUGUGGUUGAAUGUGAUUUAAACACAAUACUAUGGAGUCCUACUGUAUGAUUUACUGAUUUUAAAGAAUCUGUAAUUUCAGCAACUUGCCCUGAUAAUAUUUCAGUUCAAAUUCAAACUAUAUUCAUUGAAAUGAAUGCUGUUUGUCUGUCUCUCUGCCUUUAAUGAGGCAAUUUUCUAAGAUGUGAAAAAAAAUCAAAUCAUUAUAUGGAUAGUUAAGCUAGACAAGGUUCAGCUCUUGGGAGACUUUACAGUUUCCAUCUUUCAUUCUUUGGCUCAUUAAUCCAUCCAUCAGCAAGGAUUUUAGAGCACGUUCACAUGCCUGAUCCUGUGCUAAGUGCUAUGAAAUGCUGAGAUGAGCCAGACAUCCACCCUGAUAACAAGAAACUCAUUUAAUAUUUAGGAAGUGGGGAUUACAAGAAUAUGUGAUAAAUGAGAGAUCUAUCUAAAAUGGUGACUGUGGAACCAAUGGGCAUUCUGGUUUUUUAAAAUGAUAAAAGUAAAACUUGGC